GGAAAGUCGAGUUCCCAUACGAUCACCGAAGUUAAGCAACGUCGAGCCUGCUCACUACCUAGAAGGGCAGCCGCUUUGGAAUACCAGGUGUUGUAGG
Acanthosepion pharaonis is the source of this 97-nucleotide non-coding RNA. Lineage: Eukaryota; Metazoa; Mollusca; Cephalopoda; Sepiida; Sepiidae. The record is from the annotation of a GenBank genome assembly.